CAGACGGGAGGCAGCAGGGGGGGAGAGGGCACAAUGGGGGGAACCCUGAUGCAGCGACGCCGCGUGGGUGAAGAAGCGCCUCGGCGCGUAAAGCCCUGUCAGCAGGGAAGAAAAUGACGGUACCUGAAGAAGAAGCCCCGGCUAACUACGUGCCAGCAGCCGCGGUAAUACGUAGGGGGCAAGCGUUAUCCGGAUUUACUGGGUGUAAAGGGGGCGCAGACGGCGAUGCAAGCCAGGAGUGAAAGCCCGGGGCCCAACCCCGGGACUGCUCUUGGAACUGCGUGGCUGGAGUGCAGGAGGGGCAGGCGGAAUUCCUGGUGUAGCGGUGAAAUGCGUAGAUAUCAGGAGGAACACCGGUGGCGAAGGCGGCCUGCUGGACUGCAACUGACGUUGAGGCCCGAAAGCGUGGGGAGCAAACAGGAUUAGAUACCCGAGUAGUC
RNAcentral lists this ribosomal RNA (440 nucleotides) under uncultured bacterium. RNAcentral's name for it is "partial 16S ribosomal RNA". It matches the Rfam family "Bacterial small subunit ribosomal RNA", at positions 338 to 795 of the family's 1533-position model. The record is from RNAcentral.